Small nuclear RNA from Fukomys damarensis (Damara mole-rat), 104 nucleotides. The record is from Ensembl. Lineage: Eukaryota; Metazoa; Chordata; Mammalia; Rodentia; Bathyergidae.
GUGCUUGCUUCAGCAGCACAUAUACUAAAAUCGGAACACUACAGAGAUUAGCAUGGUCCCUGUGCAAGGAUGCCACUCAAAUUAGUGAAGCAUUGCAAAUGCUU